GCCUGGAUGGUUCAGUUGGUUGAGCAUCCGACUUCGGCUCAGGUCAUGAUCUCACAGUUUGUGGGUUCGAGCCCCGCAUCAGGCU
This 85-nucleotide transfer RNA is filed under the name Felis catus (domestic cat). It matches the Rfam family "tRNA". Rfam says of the family: Transfer RNA (tRNA) molecules are approximately 80 nucleotides in length. Their secondary structure includes four short double-helical elements and three loops (D, anti-codon, and T loops). Further hydrogen bonds mediate the characteristic L-shaped molecular structure. tRNAs have two regions of fundamental functional importance: the anti-codon, which is responsible for specific mRNA codon recognition, and the 3' end, to which the tRNAs corresponding amino acid is attached (by aminoacyl-tRNA synthetases). tRNAs cope with the degeneracy of the genetic code in two manners: having more than one tRNA (with a specific anti-codon) for a particular amino acid; and 'wobble' base-pairing, i.e. permitting non-standard base-pairing at the 3rd anti-codon position. Lineage: Eukaryota; Metazoa; Chordata; Mammalia; Carnivora; Felidae. The record is from Rfam by way of RNAcentral.